AUGCACGCUGGCGGCGUGCCUAAUACAUGCCAGUCGAGCGAACAGACGAGGAGCUUGCUCCUCUGACGUUAGCGGCGGACGGGUGAGUAACACGUGGAUAACCUACCUAUAAGACUGGGAUAACUUCGGGAAACCGGAGCUAAUACCGGAUAAUAUAUUGAACCGCAUGGUUCAAUAGUGAAAGACGGUUUUGCUGUCACUUAUAGAUGGAUCCGCGCCGCAUUAGCUAGUUGGUAAGGUAACGGCUUACCAAGGCAACGAUGCGUAGCCGACCUGAGAGGGUGAUCGGCCACACUGGAACUGAGACACGGUCCAGACUCCUACGGGAGGCAGCAGUAGGGAAUCUUCCGCAACGGGCGAAAGCCUGACGGAGCAACGCCGCGUGAGUGAUGAAGGUCUUCGGAUCGUAAAACUCUGUUAUUAGGGAAGAACAAAUGUGUAAGUAACUAUGCACGUCUUGACGGUACCUAAUCAGAAAGCCACGGCUAACUACGUG
RNAcentral lists this ribosomal RNA (496 nucleotides) under uncultured bacterium. RNAcentral describes it as "partial 16S ribosomal RNA". It matches the Rfam family "Bacterial small subunit ribosomal RNA", at positions 29 to 507 of the family's 1533-position model. The record is from RNAcentral.